Molecule: ribosomal RNA, 301 nt
Filed under: uncultured bacterium
Lineage: Bacteria
Description: partial 16S ribosomal RNA
Rfam family: Bacterial small subunit ribosomal RNA
Source: RNAcentral
CAGUAGCCGCGGUAAUACGGAGGGUGCAAGCGUUAAUCGGAAUUACUGGGCGUAAAGCGUGCGUAGGCGGUUCGUUAAGUCUGUUGUGAAAGCCCCGGGCUCAACCUGGGAAUGGCAAUGGAUACUGGCGAGCUAGAGUGUGUCAGAGGAUGGUGGAAUUCCCGGUGUAGCGGUGAAAUGCGUAGAGAUCGGGAGGAACAUCAGUGGCGAAGGCGGCCAUCUGGGACAACACUGACGCAGAGGCACGAAAGCGUGAGGAGCAAACAGGAUUAGAUACCCCCGUAGUCCCUGUCUCUUAUAA